CCAAGUUAAUUAGUGCACAUGGUGGAUGCCUAGGCAUCAAUAACCGAUGAAGGACGUAUAAGGCUGCGAUAAGCCUCGAGGAGCUGCCAAUAGAGCUUUGAUUCGAGGAUUUCCGAAUGGGGAAACCCGGCUGGAGUAAUGUCCAGUCACUUCUGCCUGAACACAUAGGGCAGCUGGAGGGAACGUGGGGAAGUGAAACAUCUCAGUACCCACAGGAAGAGAAAAUAACAUAUGAUUCCGUUAGUAUUGGCGAGAGAAAGCGGAAGAGGCCAAACCAUAUCAGCGUGAUAGUUUUCAGACGUUGCUGUUAUGGGGUUGUGGGACCAUUCCGAGGUAGCUGAAACUACUUCAAAGAGUAAAAAAUCAAUCAAAUAGAUGAAGGUUCUGGAAAGGACCGCGACACAGGGUGAUAGCCCCGUAAUCGAAAUUUGUUUGACUCUUGAGUGGUAUCCCAAGUAGCACGGGGCCCGAGAAAUCCCGUGUGAAUCUGGCAGGACCACCUGCUAAGCCUAAAUAUUCAUUGAUGACCGAUAGCGGACUAGUACCGUGAGGGAAAGGUGAAAAGUACCCCGGGAGGGGAGUGAAAUAGUACCUGAAACCAUGUGCAUACAAGCCGUUGGAGCCGUAAUAGGUGACAGCGUGCCUUUUGAAGAAUGAGCCUGCGAGUUAGUGGUAUGUGGCGAGGUUAACCCGUGAGGGGAAUCCGUAGCGAAAGCGAGUCCGAAUAGGGCGAAUUAGUCGCAUGCUCUAGACCCGAAGCGAAGUGAUCUAUCCAUGGGCAGGUUGAAGCGCGGGUAAGACCGCGUGGAGGACCGAACCCACCUAGGUUGAAAACUGGGGGGAUGACCUGUGGAUAGGGGUGAAAGGCCAAUCAAACUUCGUGAUAGCUGGUUCUCCCCGAAAUGCAUUUAGGUGCAGCGUCUCGUGUUUCUUUCCGGAGGUAGAGCUACUGGAUGGUUUAGGGGGCCCAACAGCUUACCGACAUCAGCCAAACUCCGAAUGCCGGAAAGUUAGAACGAGGCAGUGAGACUGCGGGGGAUAAGCUCCGUAGUCGAGAGGGAAACAGCCCAGAACACCGGCUAAGGCCCCCAAGCGUGUGCUAAGUGGGAAAGGAUGUGGAGUCGCACAGACAACCAGGAGGUUGGCUUAGAAGCAGCCACCCUUAAAAGAGUGCGUAAUAGCUCACUGGUCAAGUGAUUCCGCGCCGACAAUGUAGCGGGGCUCAAGCACACCGCCGAAGCCGUGUCAUUCAUACAAUAUCCAAGCCUUCGUGGUUCAGGAGUAUGGAUGGGUAGGGGAGCGUCGUGUGGCGAGCGAAGCGGCGGGGUAACCCAGCCGUGGACGCCACACGAGUGAGAAUGCAGGCAUGAGUAGCGAAAGACGGGUGAGAAACCCGUCCGCCGAAUGAACAAGGGUUCCAGGGUCAAGCUAAUCUGCCCUGGGUAAGUCGGGACCUAAGGCGAGGCCGACAGGCGUAAUCGAUGGACAACGGGUUGAUAUUCCCGUACCCGCGACGACGCGUCAAUGCUGAAUCUAGAAAUGCUAAGAGCACCAAAGCGUGGAGACCUUCGGGUUGAGACGUGGAGGUCCUCGAACCAAUCUGGUAGUAGGCAAGCAAUGGGGUGACGCAGGAAGGUAAUCCAACCCGGGCGAUGGUUGACCCGGGGUAAGGCUGUAGGGAGAGUUAUAGGCAAAUCCGUAACUCACAUAUCCUGAGAGCUGACGCCGAGCCGAUUAUGGCGAAGUGGAUGAUCCUAUGCUGCCGAGAAAAGCCUCUAGCGAGUGUCGUUGCGGCCCGUACCCCAAACCGACUCAGGUGUUCAGGUAGAGAAUACUAAGGCGAUCGAGAUAACCAUGGUUAAGGAACUCGGCAAAAUGCCCCCGUAACUUCGGGAGAAGGGGGGCCGCGGUUUGUGUAGAGAUUUACUCUCGAAGCAGAUUGCGGCCGCAGAGACUAGGCUGAAGCGACUGUUUACUAAAAACACAGGUCCAUGCGAAGUCGCAAGACGAUGUAUAUGGACUGACGCCUGCCCGGUGCUGGAAGGUUAAGGGGACCGGUUAGCCGCAAGGCGAAGCUGAGAACUUAAGCCCCAGUAAACGGCGGUGGUAACUAUAACCAUCCUAAGGUAGCGAAAUUCCUUGUCGGGUAAGUUCCGACCUGCACGAAUGGCGUAACGACUUCAGCGCUGUCUCAACCGUGGACUCGGCGAAAUUGCACUACGAGUAAAGAUGCUCGUUACGCGCGGAAAGACGGAAAGACCCCGGGACCUUUACUAUAGUUUGGUAUUGGUGUUCGAUUCGAUUUGUGUAGGAUAGGUGGGAGACUUUGAAGCCGAGACGCCAGUUUCGGUGGAGUCAAUCUUGAAAUACCACUCUGAUCGUGUUGAAUGUCUAACCUAGGUCCGUAAUCCGGAUCAGGGACAGUGCCUGAUGGGUAGUUUAACUGGGGCGGUUGCCUCCUAAAAUGUAACGGAGGCGCUCAAAGGUUCCCUCAGCCUGGUUGGUAAUCAGGUGUCGAGUGUAAAUGCACAAGGGAGCUUGACUGUGAGAUCGACGGAUCGAGCAGGGACGAAAGUCGGAAUUAGUGAUCCGGCGCCGGCAAGUGGAAGCGGCGUCGCUCAACGGAUAAAAGGUACCCCGGGGAUAACAGGCUGAUCUUGCCCAAGAGUCCAUAUCGACGGCAUCGUUUGGCACCUCGAUGUCGGCUCGUCGCAUCCUGGGGCUGGAGUAGGUCCCAAGGGUUGGGCUGUU
RNAcentral lists this ribosomal RNA (2751 nucleotides) under marine metagenome. RNAcentral describes it as "bacterial LSU rRNA". It matches the Rfam family "Bacterial large subunit ribosomal RNA", at positions 3 to 2581 of the family's 2925-position model. The record is from RNAcentral.